RNAcentral lists this microRNA precursor (219 nucleotides) under Picea abies (Norway spruce). RNAcentral describes it as "miR11406 stem-loop (pab-MIR11406)". Lineage: Eukaryota; Viridiplantae; Streptophyta; Pinopsida; Pinales; Pinaceae. The record is from miRBase by way of RNAcentral.
AAUGGGAUUCCGGUCUAUCUUGACCAAGUUGGAGAUGAUCUAUGCAGCGGCCGGGCGCUUGCGAAAAAUGAUCGGUUUGCAUUAGAGAUAUUGAGGGAGAUCAGAACAAUGCGAGGCGUGGUGGAGAUGCUGAAAUGGGAAAAAGUUCACGAGCAGGAGAUUCGAGGAGGGGCUGCAGAGAUCAUCUCCAACAUGGUCAAGAUAGACCGGAAUAGCAUU